Molecule: ribosomal RNA, 496 nt
Filed under: uncultured bacterium
Lineage: Bacteria
Description: partial 16S ribosomal RNA
Rfam family: Bacterial small subunit ribosomal RNA
Source: RNAcentral
GAUGAACGCUGGCGGCGUGCCUAAUACAUGCAAGUCGAGCGAACAGAUAAGGAGCUUGCUCCUUUGACGUUAGCGGCGGACGGGUGAGUAACACGUGGGUAACCUACCUAUAAGACUGGAAUAACUCCGGGAAACCGGGGCUAAUGCAGGAUAACAUGUUGAACCGCAUGGUUCUACAGUGAAAGGCGGCUUUGCUGUCACUUAUAGAUGGACCCGCGCCGUAUUAGCUAGUUGGUGAGGUAACGGCUCACCAAGGCAACGAUACGUAGCCGACCUGAGAGGGUGUUCGGCCACACUGGAACUGAGACACGGUCCAGACUCCUACGGGAGGCAGCAGUAGGGAAUCUUGCGCAAUGGGCGAAAGCCUGACGGAGCAACGCCGCGUGAGUGAUGAAGGUCUUCGGAUCGUAAAACUCUGUUAUUAGGGAAGAACAAAUGCGUAAGUAACUGUGCGCGUCUUGACGGUACCUAAUCAGAAAGCCACGGCUAACUACGU